RNAcentral lists this ribosomal RNA (253 nucleotides) under uncultured bacterium. RNAcentral describes it as "partial 16S ribosomal RNA". It matches the Rfam family "Bacterial small subunit ribosomal RNA", at positions 524 to 776 of the family's 1533-position model. The record is from RNAcentral.
UACGUGGGGUGCAAGCGUUGUCCGGAAUUAUUGGGCGUAAAGAGCGUGUAGGCGGCUUGAUAAGUCUGCUGUGAAAGUCCAGGGCUCAACCCUGGAAUGCCGGUGGAUACUGUUGAGCUAGAGUCCGGAAGGGGCGAGUGGAAUUCCUGGUGUAGCGGUGAAAUGCGCAGAUAUCAGGAGGAACACCAAUGGCGAAGGCAGCUCGCUGGGACGUGACUGACGCUGGGCCGCGAAAGCGUGGGGAGCAAACAGG